This 90-nucleotide transfer RNA is filed under the name Candidatus Gastranaerophilus sp. (ex Termes propinquus). Its description in RNAcentral is "tRNA-Ser". It matches the Rfam family "tRNA". Rfam says of the family: Transfer RNA (tRNA) molecules are approximately 80 nucleotides in length. The record is from RNAcentral. Lineage: Bacteria; Bacillati; Candidatus Melainabacteria; Candidatus Gastranaerophilales; Candidatus Gastranaerophilaceae.
GGAGAAGUGUCCGAGUGGUUUAAGGUGCAGUCCUGGAACGACUGUGUGUGCGCAAGUGCACCGAGAGUUCGAAUCUCUCCUUCUCCACCA